AUUGAACGCUGGCGGUAGGCCUAACACAUGCAAGUCGAACGAGUGGCGGACGGGUGAGUAAUGCAUGGGAAUCUGCUCUAUGGUGGGGGAUAACUUCUGGAAACUUUCGCUAAUACCGCAUACCAUUGGAUGCGCCCAGUUGGGAUUAGCUAGUGGGCGGGGUAACGGCCCACCAAGGCGACGAUCCGUAGCUGGUCUGAGAGGAUGACCAGCCACACUGGAACUGAGACACGGUCCAGACUCCUACGGGAGGCAGCAGUGGGGAAUAUUGGACAAUGGGCGCAAGCCUGAUGCAGCCAUACCGCGUGGGUGAAGAAGGCCUUCGGGUUGUAAAGUACUUUUGUCGGGAAAGCGUUACCCAAAGAAGAAGCACCGGCUAACUCCGUGCCAGCAGCCGCGGUAAUUC
RNAcentral lists this ribosomal RNA (406 nucleotides) under uncultured bacterium. RNAcentral's name for it is "partial 16S ribosomal RNA". It matches the Rfam family "Bacterial small subunit ribosomal RNA", at positions 30 to 526 of the family's 1533-position model. The record is from RNAcentral.